UACAGAGGUUUCAAGCGUUGUUCGGAUUCAUUGGGCGUAAAGGGUGCGUAGGUGGCGCGGUAAGUCGGGUGUGAAAUUUCGGAGCUUAACUCCGAAACUGCAUUCGAUACUGCCGUGCUUGAGGACUGGAGAGGAGACUGGAAUUUACGGUGUAGCAGUGAAAUGCGUAGAGAUCGUAAGGAAGACCAGUGGCGAAGGCGGGUCUCUGGACAGUUCCUGACACUGAGGCACGAAGGCCAGGGGAGCAAACGGG
This 253-nucleotide ribosomal RNA is filed under the name uncultured bacterium. RNAcentral describes it as "partial 16S ribosomal RNA". It matches the Rfam family "Bacterial small subunit ribosomal RNA", at positions 524 to 776 of the family's 1533-position model. The record is from RNAcentral.